AGCUUUGCGCAGUGGCGAUAUCGUAACCAAUGAGGUUUUACCGAGGUGCGAUUAUUGCUAGUUGAAAAAAAUUCAGAAUGCAAUGUGUGGCGUACAACACAACGACAGACAUCAGCAAAUACUAACUUAAAGCAUGAA
Molecule: small nuclear RNA, 138 nt
Organism: Toxorhynchites rutilus septentrionalis
Lineage: Eukaryota; Metazoa; Arthropoda; Insecta; Diptera; Culicidae
Product: U4 spliceosomal RNA
Exons: 1
Source: RefSeq, a predicted model, not a curated record